Molecule: ribosomal RNA, 21 nt
Filed under: Zaptyx cladoptyx
Lineage: Eukaryota; Metazoa; Mollusca; Gastropoda; Stylommatophora; Clausiliidae
Description: Diceratoptyx cladoptyx partial 5.8S rRNA
Source: RNAcentral
GAGAGCAGAGAAGGAAAAUAG